GCCCCGGUGGUGUAGUCCGGUACCCUUUGGCAAGCAAAGGCCAAGAGUUGGACAAACUAUCAUACUGCCCUUUCGAGGCGGUGACCUGGGUUCGAAUCCCGGCCGGGGCA
Molecule: transfer RNA, 110 nt
Filed under: Nanobdellota archaeon
Lineage: Archaea; Nanobdellati; Nanobdellota
Description: tRNA-Glu
Source: RNAcentral